AGUUAUUUAAACAAACGAUCGGGGAACAAAACGCCUCUUGUCCGUGAGUCUCAUUGAGAGAGCUGGAGUUGAUAGAGCUGGAGUUAAUGGAAUGCAUUAAAUUGAAAUCAGACAAGUGUUAGCUAAGCUUUGUAAGACCUUGGGGAACCUGUAAUAUAAGUGCCAUGACGAAAUUCAAACUGUAAAUAUACUAUAGUUAUGCCAAGUGUAGCUAGCUAGCCGCGAUCUUUUCCCAUUGUAUUGAAUGGGACAUAUAGCUAGCUACCUAGCUGCUCCUCCUAACAAGAUCCCUCACGUUCAUAAAAAUGCCUUAAAUUGAAAUCGGACUGUGAUAUCAGCUUUUGUUAGCUUUGUAACACCUUAGGGUAGCUGUGAUAUAAAUGUCGUGAUGUGUAUAAAUAUGCUAUAGUUAUGCCGAAAGUGUAUCCGGGGUCUGUGAAAGGCCGGGCAGCAAGGCAGCAACCCAGGCAGCACCGGCCGCAGUCACGUUAGCCUGCUGAGCUCCUGAACUCCGACACACAG
Molecule: long non-coding RNA, 522 nt
Organism: Sander lucioperca (pikeperch)
Lineage: Eukaryota; Metazoa; Chordata; Actinopteri; Perciformes; Percidae
Exons: 3
Source: RefSeq, a predicted model, not a curated record